Molecule: long non-coding RNA, 352 nt
Filed under: Triticum aestivum (bread wheat)
Lineage: Eukaryota; Viridiplantae; Streptophyta; Magnoliopsida; Poales; Poaceae
Description: long non-coding RNA (TAES_LNC014564)
Source: RNAcentral
AGAGGUUUAAACUUGUUCAUUUGUGUACUAAGCACAUGUAGUACUGCUACUAUUAGUUGUGCGCCUACUAGUACUAGAACCAAUGCCAUGUUAGUUCACUCUCCCUCAACCUGGAGGCACACACCAAGCUAGCAGUUGCCAACACAGUGACACAUAUUUCUUCAACUCAUGUGCUCCCUGCCAGGUCGACCUCCACAAUAGUUUUGCCGACAAGUAAGGAUUGAUGUCUACUCUCUGAUCCUAAAUCUUUUCCCUGAUGUUUUCCCAUCUUUUUUAUGAUCAAUUAACAUUGUAAUCUCCUUGAUUAUGUUUUCUGUUUUUCAAGAUGUAGGUCUAGGCGGUGCCAUAGCAG